RNAcentral lists this transfer RNA (65 nucleotides) under Neotoma lepida (desert woodrat). It matches the Rfam family "tRNA". Rfam says of the family: Transfer RNA (tRNA) molecules are approximately 80 nucleotides in length. Their secondary structure includes four short double-helical elements and three loops (D, anti-codon, and T loops). The record is from Rfam by way of RNAcentral. Lineage: Eukaryota; Metazoa; Chordata; Mammalia; Rodentia; Cricetidae.
GAUUGAAGCCAGGAUAGGGUGUUUAGCUAUUAACUAAAAGUUCAUAGGUUUAAUUCCUAUCAAUC